GAUGAAGAACGCAGCGAAAUGCGAUACGUAAUGUGAAUUGCAGAAUUCAGUGAAUCAUCGAAUCUUUGAACGCACAUUGCGCCCGCCAGCACUCUGGCGGGCAUGCCUGUUCGAGCGUCAUUUCAACCAUCAAGCCCCAGGCUUGCGUUGGAGCCCUGCGGCUGACGCAGCCUCCUAAAAGCAGUGGCGGGCUCGCUAUCACACCGAGUGCAGUAGAUUACUCUUCGCUCAGGGCGUGCAGCGGGUUCCGGCCGUGAAACCCCCUACUUUUAAAGGUUGACCUCGGAUCAGGUAGGAAUACCCGCUGAACUUAAGCAUAUCAAUAAGCGGAGGA
Molecule: unclassified non-coding RNA, 334 nt
Filed under: soil metagenome
Description: partial contains 5.8S ribosomal RNA, internal transcribed spacer 2, and large subunit ribosomal RNA
Rfam family: 5.8S ribosomal RNA (bases 1-120)
Source: RNAcentral